GCCACACGUGUGAGCUGCAUUUGCUUUAGAGGUGGACUCCAGGCUCCAUGGGAGUUGCCAGGAUAACAGCAGUAGUCCUGCUGCAAAAGGAAUGAAGGAGCAGCUUUGGUGGGUGCCUGGAAUUCAGCUAGAGUCAACCAACUACAUAAAGAAGUUUCUGACUUGGGAAUUGUAGUGCUUAUCACCAGCCGAGGAAAAGUAGCAAGUGGCAAGAAAUUGGCUAAAUGGCACUGCGGAACCAAGUAUGAUUUCAGUGCUGCUUCCUGAAGCUGCUGAUAAAAUAUUCAUUCUUGCCUGUCCUUGAAAUCUGCCUUGU
RNAcentral lists this long non-coding RNA (316 nucleotides) under Parus major (Great Tit). RNAcentral describes it as "lncRNA (ENSPMJG00000009907.1)". Lineage: Eukaryota; Metazoa; Chordata; Aves; Passeriformes; Paridae. The record is from RNAcentral.